GAUGAACGCUGGCGGCGUGCCUAAUACAUGCAAGUCGAGCGAACAGACGAGGAGCUUGCUCCUCUGACGUUAGCGGCGGACGGGUGAGUAACACGUGGAUAACCUACCUAUAAGACUGGGAUAACUUCGGGAAACCGGAGCUAAUACCGGAUAAUAUAUUGAACCGCAUGGUUCAAUAGUGAAAGACGGUUUUGCUGUCACUUAUAGAUGGAUCCGCGCCGCAUUAGCUAGUUGGUAAGGUAACAGCUUACCAAGGCAACGAUGCGUAGCCGACCUGAGAGGGUGAUCGGCCACACUGGAACUGAGACACGGUCCAGACUCCUACGGGAGGCAGCAGUAGGGAAUCUUCCGCAAUGGGCGAAAGCCUGACGGAGCAACGCCGCGUGAGUGAUGAAGGUCUUCGGAUCGUAAAACUCUGUUAUUAGGGAAGAACAAAUGUGUAAGUAACUAUGCACGUCUUGACGGUACCUAAUCAGAAAGCCACGGCUAACUACGU
This 496-nucleotide ribosomal RNA is filed under the name uncultured bacterium. Its description in RNAcentral is "partial 16S ribosomal RNA". It matches the Rfam family "Bacterial small subunit ribosomal RNA", at positions 28 to 506 of the family's 1533-position model. The record is from RNAcentral.